Otolemur garnettii (small-eared galago) is the source of this 45-nucleotide non-coding RNA. Lineage: Eukaryota; Metazoa; Chordata; Mammalia; Primates; Galagidae. The record is from Rfam.
CCAAAGGCUCUUUUCAGAGCCACCCACAGUUGUCCCUAGCCCACC